RNAcentral lists this ribosomal RNA (432 nucleotides) under Clostridioides difficile. Its description in RNAcentral is "bacterial LSU rRNA". It matches the Rfam family "Bacterial large subunit ribosomal RNA", at positions 2325 to 2756 of the family's 2925-position model. Lineage: Bacteria; Bacillati; Bacillota; Clostridia; Peptostreptococcales; Peptostreptococcaceae. The record is from RNAcentral.
GUACGGUCGGAAAUCGUCCGUAGAGUGUAAAGGCAAAAGAGAGCUUGAUUGCAAGACAUACAGGUCGAGCAAGGAUGAAAAUCGGACUUAGUGAUCCGGUGGUUCUGCGUGGAAGGGCCAUCGCUCAACGGAUAAAAGCUACCCUGGGGAUAACAGGCUUAUCUCCCCCAAGAGUCCACAUCGACGGGGAGGUUUGGCACCUCGAUGUCGGCUCAUCACAUCCUGGGGCUGUAGUAGGUCCCAAGGGUUGGGCUGUUCGCCCAUUAAAGUGGUACGCGAGCUGGGUUCAGAACGUCGUGAGACAGUUCGGUCCCUAUCCGUCGCAGGCGUAGGAAAUUUGAGAAGACCUGUCCUUAGUACGAGAGGACCGGGAUGGACGUACCUCUGGUGUACCAGUUGUCCUGCCAAGGGCAUGGCUGGGUAGCUAUGUAC